UACGUAGGGUGCAAGCGUUAAUCGGAAUUACUGGGCGUAAAGCGUGCGCAGGCGGUUAUGCAAGACAGAUGUGAAAUCCCCGGGCUCAACCUGGGAACUGCAUUUGUGACUGCAUGGCUAGAGUGCGGCAGAGGGGGAUGGAAUUCCGCGUGUAGCAGUGAAAUGCGUAGAUAUGCGGAGGAAUACCGAUGGCGAAGGCAAUCCCCUGGGCCUGCACUGACGCUCAUGCACGAAAGCGUGGGGAGCAAACAGG
This 253-nucleotide ribosomal RNA is filed under the name uncultured bacterium. RNAcentral's name for it is "partial 16S ribosomal RNA". It matches the Rfam family "Bacterial small subunit ribosomal RNA", at positions 524 to 776 of the family's 1533-position model. The record is from RNAcentral.